GUUCAACGGCCGCGGUAUCCUAACCGUGCAAAGGUAGCAUAAUCACUUGUCCUAUAAAUGAGGACUCGUAUCAACGGCAUCACGAGGGCUAUACUGUCUCCUUUUUCCAAUCAGUGAAACUGAUCUCCCCGUGAAGAAGCUGGGAUUUUAAUAUAAGACGAGAAGACCCCAUGGAGCUUUAAAUUAUGUACUUACUUUGUGCAAAAAUAUCAACAAAGCUAAAAAAAUUUAAGUACCAUUUUAGGUUGGGGCGACCGCGGAGCACAAAUUAACCUCCACAACAAACAGGCCAUACCUUUAUCCACGAGCUACACCUCUAAGAAUUAACAUAUUAAUGUUUAAUGACCCGAAUCCUCGAUCAAUGAACCAAGUUACCCUGGGGAUAACAGCGCAAUCUAUUUCAAGAGUCCAUAUCGACAAAUAGGUUUACGACCUCGAUGUUGGAUCAGGGUAUCCAAGUGGUGCAGCCGCUACUAAUGGUUCGUUUGUUC
This 491-nucleotide ribosomal RNA is filed under the name Chalcorana raniceps (Peters' Malaysian frog). RNAcentral describes it as "Hylarana raniceps (Peters' Malaysian frog) partial 16S ribosomal RNA". It matches the Rfam family "Bacterial large subunit ribosomal RNA", at positions 1922 to 2582 of the family's 2925-position model. The record is from RNAcentral. Lineage: Eukaryota; Metazoa; Chordata; Amphibia; Anura; Ranidae.